Cercocebus atys (sooty mangabey) is the source of this 951-nucleotide long non-coding RNA. RefSeq lists it as uncharacterized. The record is from RefSeq and is a predicted model, not a curated record. Lineage: Eukaryota; Metazoa; Chordata; Mammalia; Primates; Cercopithecidae. The transcript has 3 exons.
UUCGUCCUCCUCACCCCUCUGCUUUCAGGCCUGGCCUGGGUGUCCGCCUUACACCCAGACCCUUCACUGCUUCGGAGCCCCGCCAAGGCCUGCGCAUCCACGUUGCGUUUCCCCGAGGCUCUUCUGGCACCCUUGGGCUGGCAUGGUCACUUCAGUCCCUCCCCCAAAAUAGGUUGUCUCUCUGAGGGCUCUCAGCGGCGCCUGACUUCCUACUGAAGCCCCUCUGUGUCACCUGACACUGAGGCAGACUCUUCGCGGGGCACCCCAUCCACUCCCCUGAGGCCUCACUCUCCUCCCAGCCUGCCGCGACCCUCUCCUAGCCCAUGGGUCCAGGCGAGGCCUGGGCUCCCACCUCCGAGAGAGAAGACGCUUUUCAAAGGUCUGUGGCGACUGGAGGGCACCGAGCCUCCCCCAACUAGAACUGCCCAUCUUGUGUGCUCCUUCCCCACAACUGGCACCCCUGCCCAGAUUCCAGCUGAUAUUCUUCUCAACCCAGACCCCCAGCACACGUAUCUGCUUCCCCAUCUCCAUCCCAGGCCCAAGCCUCUCCCUUUAGGACUCGUGGUCGACGCCCCUGGAUCUCUCUCCUAAAAUGGCUCCCCGGACGCUGCACACUGGCCCUGCGGUAGCUCAGGACCCAGGGCAGCGGCGAUGACUUCAAUCCGGGUCUUUAUGUGUCUGGGGGUUCGCAAAAAUUCUCGCACCUUCUCUCUGCUGGCAGCACGGGGUGGGGCGCAGGCAGCCCGGCGCCCCCAGUGUGGAGCCUGCUGACCGCCAAAGAGGGAAAUGGGGAGGACGAACCAUUCAAGUUCAACGACAUGGCGACGGCAGCUCCGGCGGGAGCAGCGAUUUGGCGGGGGAGGGGAAAACCGCAGCCUCCGGACCCGCGCGUCCCGCUCGAGAACCUACCGUGAAGACCCCGGCUCUGUGGCCUUGUCCUUGUCUGCGCGG